AGUAUCUAAUUUUAUGGUAGUACCACUUGGUUCUCUGAUCCUUUCGGUUUUCAAAAGCUGAGCAUCACUGGGCUGGAUCAGUACUUGAAUGGGAGACUUCAGCUACUGCAAGAAGUGAUAUUC
Molecule: ribosomal RNA, 123 nt
Filed under: Chelonoidis abingdonii (Abingdon island giant tortoise)
Lineage: Eukaryota; Metazoa; Chordata; Testudines; Testudinidae
Source: RNAcentral